Molecule: ribosomal RNA, 301 nt
Filed under: uncultured bacterium
Lineage: Bacteria
Description: partial 16S ribosomal RNA
Rfam family: Bacterial small subunit ribosomal RNA
Source: RNAcentral
CAGUAGCCGCGGGAAUACGUAGGGUGCAAGCGUUAAUCGGAAUUACUGGGCGUAAAGGGAGCGCAGGCGGACAUAUAAGUCCGUCUUAAAAGUGCGGGGCUCAACCCCGUGAGGGGAUGGAAACUGUAUGCCUUGAGUGCAGGAGAGGAAAGCGGAAUUCCCAGUGUAGCGGUGAAAUGCGUAGAUAUAUGGAGGAACACCGGUGGCGAAAGCGGCUCUCUGGCUUGCAACUGACGCUGAGGCUCGAAAGCGUGGGGAGCAAACAGGAUUAGAGACCCCAGUAGUCCCUGUCUCUUAUACA